GCUGUUUAGGGAUAGCUCAGUUGGUUAGAGCAUGGUGCUGAUAAUGCCAAGGUUGCAGGUUCAAUCCCUGCAUGGGACAGCU
Podarcis lilfordi (Lilford's wall lizard) is the source of this 82-nucleotide non-coding RNA. The record is from the annotation of a GenBank genome assembly. NCBI's taxonomy places the organism in Eukaryota, Metazoa, Chordata, Lepidosauria, Squamata, Lacertidae.